Molecule: ribosomal RNA, 574 nt
Filed under: Aspergillus anthodesmis
Lineage: Eukaryota; Fungi; Ascomycota; Eurotiomycetes; Eurotiales; Aspergillaceae
Description: eukaryotic LSU rRNA
Rfam family: Eukaryotic large subunit ribosomal RNA
Source: RNAcentral
AAAGAAACCAACCGGGAUUGCCCCAGUAACGGCGAGUGAAGCGGCAAGAGCUCAAAUUUGAAAUCUGGCCCCUCCGGGGUCCGAGUUGUAAUUUGCAGAGGAUGCUUCGGGUGCGGCCCCCGUCUAAGUGCCCUGGAACGGGCCGUCAGAGAGGGUGAGAAUCCCGUCUUGGGCGGGGUGUCCGUGCCCGUGUGAAGCUCCUUCGACGAGUCGAGUUGUUUGGGAAUGCAGCUCUAAAUGGGUGGUAAAUUUCAUCUAAAGCUAAAUACUGGCCGGAGACCGAUAGCGCACAAGUAGAGUGAUCGAAAGAUGAAAAGCACUUUGAAAAGAGAGUUAAACAGCACGUGAAAUUGUUGAAAGGGAAGCGCUUGCGACCAGACUCGCCCGCGGGGUUCAGCCGGCACUCGUGCCGGUGUACUUCCCCGUGGGCGGGCCAGCGUCGGUUUGGGCGGCCGGUCAAAGGCCUCCGGAAUGUAUCGCCCUCCGGGGCUCUUAUAGCCGGGGGUGCAAUGCGGCCAGCCCGGACCGAGGAACGCGCUUCGGCACGGACGCUGGCAUAAUGGUCGUAAACGAC